UACAUAGCAUAUCAGAAGGCACACCCGGAGAACUGAAACAUCUUAGUACCCGGAGGAAGAGAAAGAAAAUUCGAUUCCCUUAGUAGCGGCGAGCGAAACGGGAAGAGCCCAAACCAACAAGCUUGCUUGUUGGGGUUGUAGGACACUCUAUACGGAGUUACAAAGGACGACAUUAGACGAAUCAUCUGGAAAGAUGAAUCAAAGAAGGUAAUAAUCCUGUAGUCGAAAAUGUUGUCUCUCUUGAGUGGAUCCUGAGUACGACGGAGCACGUGAAAUUCCGUCGGAAUCUGGGAGGACCAUCUCCUAAGGCUAAAUACUCUCUAGUGACCGAUAGUGAACCAGUACCGUGAGGGAAAGGUGAAAAGCACCCCGGAAGGGGAGUGAAACAGAACCUGAAACCGUGUGCUUACAAGUAGUCAGAGCCCGUUAAUGGGUGAUGGCGUGCCUUUUGUAGAAUGAACCGGCGAGUUACGAUUUGAUGCAAGGUUAAGCAGUAAAUGUGGAGCCGUAGCGAAAGCGAGUCUGAAUAGGGCGUUUAGUAUUUGGUCGUAGACCCGAAACCAGGUGAUCUACCCUUGGUCAGGUUGAAGUUCAGGUAACACUGAAUGGAGGACCGAACCGACUUACGUUGAAAAGUGAGCGGAUGAACUGAGGGUAGCGGAGAAAUUCCAAUCGAACCUGGAGAUAGCUGGUUCUCUCCGAAAUAGCUUUAGGGCUAGCCUCAAGUGAUGAUUAUUGGAGGUAGAGCACUGUUUGGACGAGGGGCCCCUCUCGGGUUACCGAAUUCAGACAAACUCCGAAUGCCAAUUAAUUUAACUUGGGAGUCAGAACAUGGGUGAUAAGGUCCGUGUUCGAAAGGGAAACAGCCCAGACCACCAGCUAAGGUCCCAAAAUAUAUGUUAAGUGGAAAAGGAUGUGGCGUUGCCCAGACAACUAGGAUGUUGGCUUAGAAGCAGCCAUCAUUUAAAGAGUGCGUAAUAGCUCACUAGUCGAGUGACACUGCGCCGAAAAUGUACCGGGGCUAAACAUAUUACCGAAGCUGUGGAUUGUCCUUUGGACAAUGGUAGGAGAGCGUUCUAAGGGCGUUGAAGCAUGAUCGUAAGGACAUGUGGAGCGCUUAGAAGUGAGAAUGCCGGUGUGAGUAGCGAAAGACGGGUGAGAAUCCCGUCCACCGAUUGACUAAGGUUUCCAGAGGAAGGCUCGUCCGCUCUGGGUUAGUCGGGUCCUAAGCUGAGGCCGACAGGCGUAGGCGAUGGAUAACAGGUUGAUAUUCCUGUACCACCUAUAAUCGUUUUAAUCGAUGGGGGGACGCAGUAGGAUAGGCGAAGCGUGCGAUUGGAUUGCACGUCUAAGCAGUAAGGCUGAGUAUUAGGCAAAUCCGGUACUCGUUAAGGCUGAGCUGUGAUGGGGAGAAGACAUUGUGUCUUCGAGUCGUUGAUUUCACACUGCCGAGAAAAGCCUCUAGAUAGAAAAUAGGUGCCCGUACCGCAAACCGACACAGGUAGUCAAGAUGAGAAUUCUAAGGUGAGCGAGCGAACUCUCGUUAAGGAACUCGGCAAAAUGACCCCGUAACUUCGGGAGAAGGGGUGCUCUUUAGGGUUAACGCCCAGAAGAGCCGCAGUGAAUAGGCCCAAGCGACUGUUUAUCAAAAACACAGGUCUCUGCUAAACCGUAAGGUGAUGUAUAGGGGCUGACGCCUGCCCGGUGCUGGAAGGUUAAGAGGAGUGGUUAGCUUCUGCGAAGCUACGAAUCGAAGCCCCAGUAAACGGCGGCCGUAACUAUAACGGUCCUAAGGUAGCGAAAUUCCUUGUCGGGUAAGUUCCGACCCGCACGAAAGGCGUAACGAUUUGGGCACUGUCUCAACGAGAGACUCGGUGAAAUCAUAGUACCUGUGAAGAUGCAGGUUACCCGCGACAGGACGGAAAGACCCCGUGGAGCUUUACUGUAGCCUGAUAUUGAAAUUCGGCACAGCUUGUACAGGAUAGGUAGGAGCCUUUGAAACGUGAGCGCUAGCUUACGUGGAGGCGCUGGUGGGAUACUACCCUAGCUGUGUUGGCUUUCUAACCCGCACCACUUAUCGUGGUGGGAGACAGUGUCAGGCGGGCAGUUUGACUGGGGCGGUCGCCUCCUAAAAGGUAACGGAGGCGCUCAAAGGUUCCCUCAGAAUGGUUGGAAAUCAUUCAUAGAGUGUAAAGGCAUAAGGGAGCUUGACUGCGAGACCUACAAGUCGAGCAGGGUCGAAAGACGGACUUAGUGAUCCGGUGGUUCCGCAUGGAAGGGCCAUCGCUCAACGGAUAAAAGCUACCCCGGGGAUAACAGGCUUAUCUCCCCCAAGAGUUCACAUCGACGGGGAGGUUUGGCACCUCGAUGUCGGCUCAUCGCAUCCUGGGGCUGUAGUCGGUCCCAAGGGUUGGGCUGUUCGCCCAUUAAAGCGGUACGCGAGCUGGGUUCAGAACGUCGUGAGACAGUUCGGUCCCUAUCCGUCGUGGGCGUAGGAAAUUUGAGAGGAGCUGUCCUUAGUACGAGAGGACCGGGAUGGACAUACCUCUGGUGUACCAGUUGUCGUGCCAACGGCAUAGCUGGGUAGCUAUGUGUGGACGGGAUAAGUGCUGAAAGCAUCUAAGCAUGAAGCCCCCCUCAAGAUGAGAUUUCCCAACUUCGGUUAUAAGAUCCCUCAAAGAUGAUGAGGUUAAUAGGUUCGAGGUGGAAGCAUGGUGACAUGUGGAGCUGACGAAUACUAAUCGAUCGAAGACUUAAUCAA
Molecule: ribosomal RNA, 2761 nt
Filed under: Staphylococcus aureus VET0406R
Lineage: Bacteria; Bacillati; Bacillota; Bacilli; Caryophanales; Staphylococcaceae
Description: bacterial LSU rRNA
Rfam family: Bacterial large subunit ribosomal RNA
Source: RNAcentral